GCAUUUGGAUAAUUAAGAUUCUUCCUGGGUGAAGAGCAACAGUCCCUUCUUUCUGAAUGACUGAAGAUUUAAGAGCUCUGCAUGCCCUGAACUACACUGUCCUGCGGUGAGGCUUUGUUUUCCCUUGUUCUGGUCCUGCUGGACCUAGAGAUUGGGGUGCGAAGGUGCUUAGGGUGCAACAAAGGAAAGAAUUGAGCAGGCCUGGACAAUGUCACCUCACCAAAGCGGGGGCAGAAGGCAGCAGAGGAAAGGUGCUUAGUGCAAGCCUAAGGAUCUUGUAAGCCUUUGUAGCCCGGACUCUGACCAGCCUGUUGUUUCUUUAACAUCCUGCAUUCAAGUAUUUGAUGCAAAUAUGAUUGCCUCUAGGCAAGAGAAUAUAAAUAUUUGCCGAAUGUAUAA
RNAcentral lists this long non-coding RNA (399 nucleotides) under Homo sapiens (human). RNAcentral describes it as "non-protein coding lnc-MDM2-3:1". Lineage: Eukaryota; Metazoa; Chordata; Mammalia; Primates; Hominidae. The record is from RNAcentral.